UACGUAGGGGGCAAGCGUUGUCCGGAAUCAUUGGGCGUAAAGCGCGUGUAGGCGGCUCGAUAAGUCUGCUGUGAAAGUCCAGGGCUCAACCCUGGGAUGCCGGUGGAUACUGUCGGGCUCGAGUCCGGAAGAGGCGAGUGGAAUUCCUGGUGUAGCGGUGAAAUGCGCAGAUAUCAGGAGGAACACCAAUGGCGAAGGCAGCUCGCUGGAACGGUACUGACGCUGAGGCGCGAAAGCGUGGGGAGCGAACAGG
Molecule: ribosomal RNA, 253 nt
Filed under: uncultured bacterium
Lineage: Bacteria
Description: partial 16S ribosomal RNA
Rfam family: Bacterial small subunit ribosomal RNA
Source: RNAcentral